UGAGGCAUGGGCGGGGGGUGCCGGCCAGCCUGGGAAGGAGCUGGGAUAGACACCUGGGCUCGUCCUUCACACCUCCACGGAGAUGUCUUCACCGUCUGAGCCGAGAACACCUGCCCAGAGUCUUGCUUUGGGAAGAUAUAUUUGCAUAUCUGAAGUACCAGCUAUAAUAGAAAAGCCGCCGUGGAAACGUCUUCUUGGGGUGCCCCCGAUCGCAAUAACAGUCUGGGUGCACCAUGACAGCUUUCGCUAUGCACACAGUCACUUGGAAAGAAUCCAAUCCAUGAUCCCAAGCUGCCUUUAGUCAUCAUGGCUCCCAACUGUCUUCCAGUCUAAGAUGGUUUCUCCGUAUUUCCUUGCUUCCUCUGGCCUUGGAAGUUUUGAGGCGUGCUGGGUUGAAUUUCUCCACAAGAGCUACAGAAAAAAAUGGCAGUUCAAUUGGUGGCGAUUCAUUCAUUCAUUCAUUCUUCACUCAUUCAUUCAACACUUGCUGAGACACCUUCUCUGCUUCAGGCCCUGGCUUGGUCCUCACAUCAAAGAACUCACGGUUGGUGGCUGGACAUAUGUGGAGACAGACAUGUGACAAACUAAGUGCCGCAGGGAGGGGGACCCUGAGUCCCGCUGGCCCACACUGUCCUGGGUUUGCAUGGUCACAGCUUAUGGACAGAGACUAUGGGAGCUAUGACCAAAACACAGAGAGGGAGGUAAGGGGGUGUUCCCCGCCGUGUCAGGGCAGAGUCAGGUGUGUGAGGAGCAGGGGAAGGUUCCCUGAGCUCAUAGUGAGCCUGGCUGGGGCUGGACUGUGGGGAUGGAAUUCAGACUCAGCCCUAUGACCAAGUAUUUCCUAACGGCACCAGAGACAGGUUCUCUAGUGUCUGUUAUGCAAGGCAAAUUCUCGCUUUAAGUUUCCAUUCCAUUGAUGAUCUAAAAAUAUAUACAACUUAUUCUGGAUACAGGGACCACCUUUAGGAGAUAACAGCUGUGCAGCCUCAGGGGCUGAGUCCAGCUUUCUGAUCAGGCUCAUGUGGAUGCUCCACGGGGAGUGUUGCUGGUGGCCGAGAGGCUGGCCCACCGGAACCUCUGAAGAGCAAGGCUCGCCCCACGCUUGGCACUCAUCCUCAUGCCGCAUUCUCCUGCCAGUUGUAAAGACAACACUUCUCUGGGAGUGACAACUCAUAAUUGAAGGAGGCUUAUGUAAGAUAAGAUUUGAGUUGAAGUUUCAUAGACUAGACUUUGUUUUGACAUCCUGAAAGAACAGAAUGUCAGGGAGUGGAAUGCUGUGUGAGUUGUUGAGGCAAAUGAGGAAGGCCAGUGGAAGCAGACUGCAGGCAAACGACACCUGCAUGCCAAGCCAGGCCAAGAGAGGCUGUUGCACGUUCUAGAAGCAGAGAUUUCUUUGCCCUUGCACACAGGGAAGCAGCAGCAGGUCACGGUGCCUGUCAGGACAUAGCGGGGGCCCAUGGAACCCCAAGGAACUGGCCCAUACAUGCCUCUGAUGCUCUGACUCACAGAAGGCCAUCAGCAGUGAGGAGAAAAUACAGAAUGACUUUUGGAAAGCAAUCGGCUUUUUUUUACAGUAUUGAAUUUUGGAUGCAUGACUAACAUCUGACAAGCCUAUCAUAAUAACUGAGUGGGGACUUAAAUGAGUUCAUGGUUGAAAAGAAAAAGCCAGCAGUAGCAAUAAGGACAGUAACACAGUGAAGGUUUAUCACUCUCAAAAUCAAAGAAUUAACUAAAAAAAAAAGGGAACGCCAAUAUGUGUGACAACCAACAUGCGUGUUUUGGCUUCAGCAAAACGUUACAUUAAAUCAAUGAACAACAUUUGAAUAUUACUGAUUUCAGAUUUUUUAUACUUAAUUUACAAGUGUUUUUUAAUAGGCUCUAACUUAAAGAGUUUACACCUGGUUUCAUUUGUGCAUUUUAAGGUCAUGAUUAUGAUAAAAGUAAUUUAUAUUAAUAUUGGAGGCUCUCAAAGAAAACAUUUUCCUUUAAAAGGAGUCUGUAUAUUAGUCAUGUGUUGGGGGAGCUAAAAAGCCAAGGAGUGACAUGGUCAGAUGUAUUUUCCUGUAAUGUAAAAUGUUGAAUAAACAAGAUGUAACUGGGCCGGGUGUGUUGGGUCACACCUGAUCCUAGCACUCUGGGAGGCUGAGGUGGGCAGAUCUCUUGAGAUCAGGAGUUUGAGACCAGCCUGGCCAACAUGGUGAAACCCGUCUGUACCAAAAAAUACAAAAACAUUCAGGCAUGGUGAUGCAUGCCUGUAAUCCCAGCUACUUGGGAGGCUGAAGUGGGAGAAUCACUUGAACCUGGAAGACGGAGGCUGCAGUGAGCUGAGAUCAUACCACUGUACUCCAGCCUGUGUGACAGUAAGACCCUGUUUCAAAAACAAACAAACAAACAAAAAACCAAAAAACAACAAAACAACAAAAAACAAAAAAACCAAGAUGCAAUAUUUACUGGAAGUAUAAAUCCCACUGGUUUAAUUUUAAAAGUUUACCAAAGUGAUACAUGCUGAAAAACGAAACAACAUCAAAGAGUGAAUGUUGAUGGGAAUGGAGCCCCAGGAGUGUCCCCUUCAUCCCGCCCUCCUCCACCUUUUCCAUUUCCUUCUGCAGUCAGAGUCUGUGAACAUUCACACUCUGCCCAGGGUGGCAACCACUGU
Long non-coding RNA from Homo sapiens (human), 2656 nucleotides. Ensembl annotates it as EFCAB6 antisense RNA 1. Its record names the gene EFCAB6-AS1. The record is from Ensembl. Lineage: Eukaryota; Metazoa; Chordata; Mammalia; Primates; Hominidae.